Sycon ciliatum is the source of this 1110-nucleotide long non-coding RNA. RefSeq lists it as uncharacterized. The transcript is spliced from 2 exons. NCBI's taxonomy places the organism in Eukaryota, Metazoa, Porifera, Calcarea, Leucosolenida, Sycettidae. The record is from RefSeq and is a predicted model, not a curated record.
GUAGCCUCGUGCAAGCAAAGACUACAAGUUUCGUGCUGACGAAGCAUGUGCUGAGUGGCACUGUUUUGCUUUGAGUUGCUGGUUUUAUUUUGACAAGUAUUAAACGUUCAUGAAAUGGUUUGAGAAGUACUUGGUGCCAUCACAACGUAACCAGUAACUGCUCGAUCUUGUCUCAGCAAAUUCAACGUCCUUUUCCAAAAUAGUUCCAACAGUAUUUUUUUCAGUUAUCCGCUUUAGAAUCAACUACAAAGGGCCACUUUCCUACUCUUCCUGAGAACCUUCAGCAUUUUACUCAGAAUUCCUUUGUGGUUCCACAGUCAAUAUUUUAAAUAAUGGCUUUGUCAGGCAAUUUCGUUGGCCAACUGAACGAAAUGGCUCAGGUCAGUCGUUGGGCGGCGCCCAACUAUGUCGAGGUCGCUCCUCCGGAUGGUGGCUUUGGCUUUGCCAUGGAGUGCCAUGUGCUCAAUUUGAAAACAGUAGGUGUUGAUGAUACGAAGAAGAAAGCUCGCCAGGAGUCAGCUCGUCUCAUGCUCCAGGUGAUAGAAGAGUCUGGCGUUCAGCUACCCCAGCAGCCAUCCGAUAAGCGUUAAGAGGGCUUGAGAGCAGCACAAGGCAAGCGCUGAAUGAGCCUGCGCGAGUUGCACAGGCGGCGGCAUCGACAAUUCGACCGCUACAUUACAGAAUCUGAUAUGUACCACACCAUAAGGAUCCACUCAUAACUCAUCCUGAACCUUGUGUUUAAGCAAAUAGUUUUGGCCUUGACACCAACUCUCCCAUUCACCACUGUUAGUUGUUCAUAGUCAUACCGUUGCAUGUUUUACUUUUUUGUUGGAAGUUUUUGUCUCUCUAACUGCCACAGUCUUUGUUUGACUUUUAAAUCUUUGUGUGUGUCGCUGGAUGACAUACACCAUUUCGUAACCCAACUGUAGUACCCAGAUCUCUUUUGGCUGUACGAGCUGGCGCUAACACUACAUAUCUACAUACUGCUACUGCUGGUGUCUGUAUUUGUGUGCUUGGAUUUUUCUGCUCUGCUGUGUGCCUGACAUCUUGUUAAUCCAUUAAUUCCUGUUCUCAGCGCAGUGGUGGCAAUAAAAUAUACACUACCCCACA